AUGGGCAACGAUUUUUGGUCAUCAAUUUUGCGACUUAUAAACUAUUUUGAGCCACUAGCAUUUGUACUUAGAAGGGUGGAUGGAGAUGUUCCUGCUAUGGGUUACCUUUAUGGUGAUCUUGAAAAUGCAAAAAAGGAAAUUGCUGUCCGUUUUGAUGGAAAUGCAAAGAAAUAUGGUUUUAUUUGGGAUAUUAUUGAUGAAAGGUGGAACGACAAACUCAAGACUCCAUUGCAUAAAGCCGGAUACUACUUGAAUCCAUUAUUUUAUUAUGAGAACAAGGCAGAGUUGGAGGAAGAGGUUUUCGUCGCAACAGUCGUACAGUGCGCAGGUCGUGUGUACCAUGAUAAUGACAAAUUACAGGAUAUGAUUGUUGCCCAGCUUAAUAUGUACACUAAUGGCACUGAUUCUUUUGGCUCUGCAAUGGCUAUUCGACAAAGAAAAAGUACAACUAUCAUCCCAGGUAAAAGCUCUCUCUCUCUCUGGUUUCAACAAUAUUUAUCUUGUCAAAUUUCUAACUUAAAUUUGGUUAUAUUUGCAGCAAAUUGGUGGGCAGCACAUGGCACUGAUGCAAAGGAAUUAAGAAAGAUGGCUAUCAAGAUUCUAAAUUUGACGUGUAGCUCAUCUGCAUGUGAAAGGAACUGGAGUGCAUUUGAGAGGGCACAUACAUCACUUCCUUCAUGCAUUACCUUUUCAUGUAGCAUAUUGUGCUUUUUAGAUCUUAAUGGCCGCUUCAUUGUAGGUCCAUACCAAGAAAAGGACGAGAUUAACACAAAAGAGAUUGAAUUCUCUUGUCUAUGUCAUGUUUAA
Molecule: ribosomal RNA, 807 nt
Filed under: Triticum aestivum (bread wheat)
Lineage: Eukaryota; Viridiplantae; Streptophyta; Magnoliopsida; Poales; Poaceae
Description: partial small subunit ribosomal RNA
Source: RNAcentral